This 106-nucleotide ribosomal RNA is filed under the name Streptomyces somaliensis DSM 40738. RNAcentral's name for it is "partial 23S ribosomal RNA". It matches the Rfam family "Bacterial large subunit ribosomal RNA", at positions 2824 to 2925 of the family's 2925-position model. The record is from RNAcentral. Lineage: Bacteria; Bacillati; Actinomycetota; Actinomycetes; Kitasatosporales; Streptomycetaceae.
GAGGGUAAGGCUCCCAGGAGACGACUGGGUUGAUAGGCCGGAUAUGGAAGCCCAGUGAUGGGUGGAGUUGACCGGUACUAAUAGGCCGAGGGCUUGUCCUCAGGUG